AUUGAACGCUGGCGGCAUGCCUUACACAUGCAAGUCGAACGGUAACGGGCCUUCGGGUGCCGACGAGUGGCGAACGGGUGAGUAAUACAUCGGAACGUGCCCGAUCGUGGGGGAUAACGAGGCGAAAGCUUUGCUAAUACCGCAUACGAUCUACGGAUGAAAGCAGGGGACCGCAAGGCCUUGCGCGGACGGAGCGGCCGAUGGCAGAUUAGGUAGUUGGUGGGAUAAAAGCUUACCAAGCCGACGAUCUGUAGCUGGUCUGAGAGGAUGAUCAGCCACACUGGGAGUGAGACACCGCCCGGCGUCCUACGGGACGCACCAGUGGGGAAGUUGGGACAAUGGGCGCAGGCCUUAUCCAGCUAUGGCACGUGCAGGAUGAAGGCCUUCGAGUUGUGAACUGCAUUUGUACGGAAGGAAAAGCCUUCUCUGAAUAAAGGGGGGGCAUGACGGUAGCGUAAGAAUAAGCACCGGCUAACUACGUG
This 482-nucleotide ribosomal RNA is filed under the name uncultured bacterium. Its description in RNAcentral is "partial 16S ribosomal RNA". It matches the Rfam family "Bacterial small subunit ribosomal RNA", at positions 29 to 507 of the family's 1533-position model. The record is from RNAcentral.